UUUGUACUCCCUCCGUCCCAUAUUAAGCCACUCAAAUUUGCCCAAAUAUGGAUGUAUCUAUACCUAAAAUGCGUCUAGAUACAUGUAAUAUUUUGGCACUUAAUAUGGGACGGAGGGAGUAUAUG
Molecule: non-coding RNA, 125 nt
Organism: Brachypodium distachyon (stiff brome)
Lineage: Eukaryota; Viridiplantae; Streptophyta; Magnoliopsida; Poales; Poaceae
Source: Rfam